RNAcentral lists this long non-coding RNA (11648 nucleotides) under Gallus gallus (chicken). Its description in RNAcentral is "lncRNA (ENSGALG00010020826.1)". Lineage: Eukaryota; Metazoa; Chordata; Aves; Galliformes; Phasianidae. The record is from RNAcentral.
AUAUUAAUAUUGUAAGUACGGGUUUGCACAUAGAAGCUGAUCAUGUGUCAGGAUCUUUGGCCCAAAUCUGAAAUGCUAAAGGCACUCACUUCUGGAAGAUGCUGAAACUUUAUUGAAUUAUGUUUUUACAAGCUUCUUUAUGAUUAUCUUUUAGGUAUUUUCUGAUCUAAUGUUGAAAAGCUAUUUAGUGUAACUGCAGUUAAGUGAUUUCAUCUCAAAUGUUUAUUUUGCUAUGCACAUCUCUUCCCCCUUUUCUUUUUUUAAUGUGAAGUGCUACAGCUUUACUUUAAGUUUAUAUGGAAAGCAACUAUACUUUAAGAAGUAUGCAGGAGGAUUUCCCAUGUCUGUAAACAUACUGGGUAGUUGAGCAUUUGCUGAAAUGAGCUGCCAAUUGUUUUCUGUCUUGUAAUACUCCUUUGUAGAUCUGCUGGUAUCUGGCUUGUCCCUGCUGCAUCUAUACAAUGCGUUCCUUCAUGUUUUGUGUAACAUCUUCCUCAGUCAUUUCUGUGUAUGUAAAUACAGAAACUGGAAAGAGAAAACUCUGUUUGUGAAUUGUCCCUCUUCCUGCCCUCACUUCUCCACCCCUCCAGCGUAGCUGGAAGGUUGGUCAUGAGCAGGAAGUGAGAACAAUAUUGAUCACUGGUAUCCAGGAAUUCUGAGGGGAAAGGGGGCAAAAAUGAGCACUGGAAAACAAUCUACGUGUUCUGACAACACAUUUAUGCUUUGAGACCCUUAGAAUGGGAGUGCUGUCGGUAGAAAAAGUAAAUGAAGACCUCGAGGUGUUGGUUGCAGAAGUAUCGAAGCUAACUGCCAUUGUAAGAGGCUUGGGUGUUGGUUUUGUGCCUUCUGUUACUUGUUCAGUUAUUUAAAUCACUCCUAAUAGUGGUUAGUGAGGUGCAAGCAGAGUGAAGCCUAAACCCAGAAGGGUUUUUGUGUAUUAUUUACCUUUAUUUUAGCUUGUCAAACUCAAAGCAGAGUUACAUUAAAACAAAGUAUCUUUCAGUGGUGACUUCUGUGACUGUAUAACUCCUGCCACAUGAGUGAUUACUGUUCAUUUCUGCACUUACUAUUUGCAAGUGCUGCAUGUUUGUGUCACAACGCUGUUUUCUAACACUGUUUCAAGUAAGAGAAGAACGUAAAAAAAGGUAAUUUAAAGUGAUGUAUUUAAUGGGAAGUAGUUCUAAGUUGCUCAACUGAGAAGAGAUGAGUACUGGCAUGUCUCAAAACUUGUUUUGUUCCCCAGGAGUUAAGCAUAGAGUGUUAUCUCCCUUUUAUUUGCACAGUAUCUCGCAUACCAGCAGAGCCUGGAAAUUCAUAAUGUUUAGCAAAAUGAGGAAAGAAAUCAAGAGUCACACAUUUUUGCUGUUGGCAGUGGUAGCCUGAUCAACAUUUACCCGUCAGCCUGCCACCUCCCGUAACUUAGACACUAGUUUUUAAAACCACUUUCUGCAGCCGUUAGUCCUCAGUUUCUGGUUGCCAAAUAUGUGUUUUCUUUUUUCUUCUUGCGCAAGCUUGUUGUUACUGCUGUGCUUAUAAGAGAGGGCUUAGCUGAGUUUUGGAGGUGUAUUUAGCAGCAGAUGUACUGCAUAUUGUCCUUUUUCUUGUGACAGUCCUUAAGAGUAUUUAAGUGUGUUAUUCAGCAUUUGAUGGGUGACCAAGCUAUUCUUUGUUUAUUUUCUGAAGCAUUGAACGUUUUGUUACAAAUGUAGGCUGAUAUUAUUACAGAUAAGUGAUUUUGUUCAUGGCUUUGAUGCUUAGUGUUGCUGUGAGAAAGAUCCCUGUGCAGGGUUCAACAAAUAAUUGUGGAGAGCAGCGGUUCCACUUUCUGUGCACGUGCUACCUAUUUUGUAAAUAAGCAUUGUAUGGCUGUUGGUCUUCCUUUUAAAAGCUAUCCUGUGCAUGGCUGACUUCAAAACUCUUAUAAAAGCUUAGGAAUUAAGUCAGUGUUGUAAACUAGAAACGUGAGGUAGACUUUCAGAAUUAUUUGGAAGAGGAAAAUACGUGUAUAUGAACUGAAGGAAUCUGAGUCAAAUAAGCAGGCUGUGCAGCUUUCCUGAGGUUUGUGAAAAAUCAAAAUGCAGUAACUUGUUAGACCUGUGUGAGGAGGAAUAGAGAACAUAUAUUUCUAGCCUGUCAUAGAACGGUGUGGAUUAACACAGAAGCAAGAAAAGAGCCUCAGAUGUUCUUGCAAAACUGUGACAAAACACCUUUGCAAAACGUGAUGACCUCAGUUGUACUGUGGUAGAAUAAAACAAAAUCAGAGGUUGGAAAAAAAUGGCAACUCGUGGUAUAAAGAGGUUAAGAAAUUGAAGUAUUAAUAUUCAAGUAAAAUACAUUUAAUAAGUAGGAAAUGAAGUGAAACAGUGUACUCUGAAGCUUAUCAAAGAGUUUACAGGAAGGUUCCUGAAGAUCUGGAGAUCUCCUGAAGGAUCCUGGAGAUCCUGAAGAUCUGGAGAAUUCAACUGAAAAUAGAAAAUCCGUUCUUUUUACCUGAGCCUGUAUCUGUGUAUUUAGGAAUAAACACAGUUUUUGUUUCGUAUUUUUACAACAGCUGUUUGGGUAACCUAAAGCACACAGACCGCGAUGCUGGUAUUUACGAGGCCUGCACUCCAAGGCUGUGAGUGCAACUGGAGCUAAAGGAGCCUUGCUGUUCUGCUGGGGCUUUAUGAAAACUUCAGGAGCAUUUGACAAGUUUUACUCUAUUCAGUGGGAGGAAAAAAGGAAAUGUACUUGUAGUUUUUAAGCUUUACAGAAUGAUUAGGUUUUAAUUUAGCAAAACUAUCCUAGACAAACAUAGUGUAUUUCUUUCUUAUAGUCAAAAUAAGAAGCGCCUAUGGUAGAAAGAGUACUGUGCAAAACUUGCUCUAGUGGAUGUGAGAGCUUUUGAGUCUGACAGUUUAAGUAGCGAAGACGAAAGUGAGGACAGUUCUUGGGCAGGGGACUUGAAGAGGAAUGUGAUUCAUGGGGCAUAGUGACUGGCGUAAUUACCAGUGCAGCUGCUGUAGUAAUUUCUGCCAGUGCUAAAAAAGCCUGUCAUGGCCUGUACUCUGCUGGUCAGAGUGUAAGUGAUAACGAUGGCAGCAGCAGUGCCAACUCCAGGCUGCUGUAUGCGAUUGGAGCAGUUUCUGCUAGGUUUCAAAUUGAUAUAAAACCUUCACAGGAUUUCCUGAAGUGUUCAGGCUGAGGAAAAACUUUGGAAUUGGGAGUGGCAAGGUUUUGUUAUGUGUUUUCUGUGAGGAAUAGUAAGAGUAGUGAUACAGAGGGAUUUAAAUAAUCUGAUAAUGAGUAAAACCUGUCAAAUUCAGGCAAGGAAAACCAAGGACUUGAGCACCUUCAAUUUUAACAUUAUCAGCACAAAAGGUUUGUAAGAAAUCCAUUUGCUUCAGUAUUCUAUUAAAUAAGGUUUUAAACUUUUUGUUCUGAUAGAGCUUUCUGUCAUUCUGUAUUUUUUUAAUCACGUUCUGUAAUCUGAAACAUCUGACUUGUGGUUCAGUGUUUGUUUCCAUUUAAGCCAAGUGACACAUUUCAGAGUUGAUCCAGCAUGGAAUUUGGAGGAAGGAGCUCUUGAAGCACUGGGACAGAAGAGUGGGAAGAAACGUUCUGCUGGACCCAGGCUUCUUUCUCAUGUAAAUGGCUUGACCUAGCGAGGAAAAGCUUUUGCUGAAGAGUGAGGGGAAUUUUGAAAUACUAACCACAAAAUGUUAUUUUCUGUCACUAAUGUGCAUCAUCAAAACUCACUUCUCUAGCACUCAACAAACGUAAUUUGCAUUUAAAAUUGAAGUGGAUUGCCAAAAGUCUUACAUCAGUCUCACAUCAAAGACAGCAGAAUUUCCUAGAAUUCAGGGACUCUGAUACUUACUGUCAGAGCAAUCUGUUUAACUGCCUAGCCCCAACAUCUGCAUUAGCAGCUCAUUGCAUUUCACCUGUGCAGUAGAAAUAAUAAUUUUGUCCUAUUUGAGAGAAGGCUUAGCUUCCUUCCUAGAUGUUCUAAGUGUAAACUGUAAAUACAUAUGCAGUGUUCCUAAUUUCUUUCAGUCUUCCUUAUCCUCUUCAAAGAGUUUCCAGAUCUUGCUCUUUUUCAACCUUUUAUUUACCUUUGAUUUCAUUUCUGCCAUUUCCAUCUCCUGUUCUUAAUAACGUGCCUCCCUCAGAUUGUUGCUGAAGAAUGCCAAACAGUGUUUGUGGCUCGAUUCAAGAAAGAGAUUAAGGAGGAGAUCACAAUUUCCUGCAUCCAAAGGUAUCAGAAGAUUGUUAGCUAAUUUAUGAAAACAUUCUGUAAUCAUUGCUCAUUGUUGUCCCUGUUGACUGAUGGUACGAGUUCCACAGGCUUAAAUUCGGGCACAAGAGGAGUCCUAAAAUAACACUGCAGAGUUUCUCCUUGUGCAGCAAGCGACUCUGCUCAUCCCAAGCACCUGGUGACUGCAACCUGAGUGACAGUAAGUAGUGUAGUUCUGUGGCUUAUGUUUCCAGCAUGUAUAUAUGUGUACGCUGAGGCUCAGCCCUAAUAAAGUCACCUUUUUUGAAAGUUGUAUUGCAUAUUGUCUUUGUCAUAGGUGGCUAUUAGUUUAUGGAAUGACAGUCACAUGACAUUUUUGAAAAUGCCAUUAAAUAUUAAGAUUCUCAGUUUGCUUGAAGGUUGUGGUUGCUUUUUGGUUUUAAUAACAAAAACCUCAAGCCUGAAAAUGGUAGUUCAGUCCUUUUCCCAUGGCAUCUUUGAGCUUUUUUCUAGUAUGGUAAGCAGGGUGAGAACUGAUUACGUUGUAAAAAUUAAAAUAAUCUCAGUUUAAAGCCUAUCAAGUAAAAAUAGUUCUAGUUUUAAAAUGAGAAAUACUAUUUUACAUGUUAUAGAAGAAAGUGUUCACCUCAGAGCUGACUUUUUUUUUCCCCUCUCCUCAGCAAUUAGGUAUUCACAGUCUCCAAAGGGAGGUUAGCAAAGACAGUAGUUUGAUUGGAAGGGGCCUACAAAGGUAAUCACAUCCACUUGCGUUGCCACCUUGGGGACGACCAAAAGUUAGAGCAGGUUCUGAGUGUCAUUUAGUGUUUCAAUUGGGGUUUUUUGUUUGGGUAUUUUUUGGCUAGUGUGUAGAGUAGUGUGAUGUGUGCCCACUGCUUUUUUUGCCCAGUUAAACAAAAAAUUCAACAGUUAAACUCCAGGGUAAAUCACAGGUGAUAAUGGGAUACGAAACUCUUGUUUUACCCAGCUCCCUGAGACAGGGUUCUGCAAUUCUUUUAGUGGUUCAAAAUGUCAUUGAGGGAGAGAGAAAUCUGACCAAUGGAUUGAUAACUGAGUAAUACCUGUGAGAUGUACAAAGCAGGAGGAAGAACUGAGUCUGUUUUAAAGAUGAGUAAAUUGAGAUGAGGUGAUCUGCACAUCAGGUGGGAAACCUGUGUGUGUGUGUGUAUACUUAACAAAUCUGAACGGACAACAAAUUUGCUAUCCAUCUGAAAGUGCCUGGUGCUGCUUGGACGUGCAGGCUGGUCUUUGCAUAUAUCGUGUGUCUUCUGCCAUUUUCAUGCCCAGUUAUAAAAAUAGAUGCAGCUCUUAAGACAUUCAGGAAGAAAAUGAAAAUUUAACAAAUUGAAGACUUGUGCUAGAAUAUGUGGAUGUUGUCUUUGUUGUGAAAAGUGAAAGGGAAGGAAGUAAACUCUUUAGCCUGGAAGUCAAUUUUAAAGAUAAAGUAGAAGGGCAUUUUUAGAAACUUAGAGGGCAGGAUUCUUAGGGAUCUCCACCACAAAUGCCUUUAAAGGGGAGGUAUUUUACUGGAAUAAAUAGAAUAAAUUGGUGCAGAGGAGGAGGCUGAACAGGUCCCAGGUGUGGUGGCCUGGCUCGUAUUGUUGAUGGAAUUGUUGCCAUUGGCUUUGUGAACGUUUUGAUUUUAGCUUGUGAGCCACUUACAGUUCCAUUUCUGCAGUGAGGAUAAAGAACAAUGAACAAAUUUGCACAGAAGCUGCUGGUAGACAUCAGCAGUGAGAUCUAGCCUGGCAUUUAAAUAAAGCCUAAUUAAACAUAUGUUUCUCUGGAAAUGUUUGAGAAUUUCUGCUGGUCACGCUAUGGCAUUUUCCCUUCUAGGUGCAGGUGGAGUUUGUGAUCAGCAAAAGCAGGAGUGUUACAAGCAGUAUGCACUCUGUGUCAUCUGUAGAUGUAAUUCAACUGUUUCAAGUCUGCUAAAACAGUGGUAGCUACAUGGGUGAGGCAGGACUUGGGCAGGUAACAUGCAGUUUUACUUCAGUUGCUGCUGGGGUGAGAGUCCCUACCUCCUUCCCCAUGGGAAGGUACCCUAACCCAGGAACACUUCAUGCAGCACUGAAAUGGAGGCCUUCACAGAAAGAUAAACCUCAGUAUGCUUCUCCAGUGAAAUAUAUUACACAUUUGUUAGUUUUUGGGUAACAGCCAAAUCAUUCCUUGUCCCUCCCCACACACGCUUCCAUUUAUAAAUGAAGUCUUCAGUCUUUUGAAUGUCAUACAAAACUGUUCAAAACCAGACUUGAGCAAUUGAAAUUCAAUUAGUUCAAUCAGAGUGAUUCAAUUGACACAGCUGAGUUCUGCAAUCUGAACAAAAGAUUUUGCUGUAAUUGUGCAGGAAUAUAUAAAUGCUGAUAUGAUUGUCUUGUCCUCAGCCCUCCAGAAGGAUGUAUUGCAUUUUAAAACUUACUGGCAUACACCCCAUUUUCUACUUGAUGCUUCUGUGGUGCCUCGGCCCCUCAUAAAAUUGGAGGUGAACAAAAUCCAGUGAAAUACAAGGAAGUGUGUUUCCUGUGGGCAAGCCUGCUGAAUGUUAGGCAUUCACAUGUAAUGUAUUGCUAAAUUUGGUGAAUCCGUUUGGACAUCCAUUCCGUCUUGAGACAGAUGAUCUUGUAAUAGCCAUUUGCAGAUGAUAUUUCUGAUGAAUCAUUUGAGGUUGUGAUUCACAGCUUGACUGUAGUGAUGUUCAAAUCAAAAAAAUGUGCUUUAUCUCAGAGCAGGAAGGGUUUUGCUUAUGCUUUUCUUGAAUCUACACCUGUCAGUCUGCAAUGUACAGUAAUGUCCAAAGCCAAGAAAAAAAAAUAAAAGAAGUUUACGCCCCAGUAUGAGAGCCAAGAAGCAGAAGUUUCCUUGGUCAUCUUGCUUCUGCCACAGUGUUCUUUCUGUCUGGCAUUUGUGGUGGAAGUGGCAGCAAUAUUAAGUAAGUUGCAGGUAAUUCUCCACCAUCCAGACUCAAAUCCUCAUCAGUGUGUUAAUGCAAAACUAUCUGAUUGGCAUGAGGAAACUGCAUGGCUUUGGACUGGAAACGCAACUGGAGAAGAUGCUGGGGCUGCUCAGAGAGACAACAUGAACAAGUGUAAUUGUAUCAGAUGCCUCCAGGAGUCUGCAGGCCGAGUGGCUGAAAUCUGUCCUUCCCAUGCACACAACUCUGCUGGGGCAGGUGAGUAGCAUGCUCUGCCAAUAGCAGGCCAAGCGAAAGCUCUCCAGGAUUCUCAGACUGAUAAAAACAAUACUGGAGGAAAUGGAAAAAGAUCUGAGUAGAAGAAUUUCUUGUUAUUAAUCACUAUCUAUACCAAGCACAGGACUACUAUUCUAGGCCUUGGAAAGUGACAUGUUAUUUUCCUUUCCUUUUAAAUAUGACAAAAGCCUAGGACUAAGUAGCAGAUAUUAAAUAUUGAGUAUUCCAAAAGGAUUUAUCAUCUGCUAAACAUAAAGAGACUUCUCUCCAAAAAGAAGCAGGCUGGCUAGGCCAUAUAUGUUUUUCUCCAUGCAGUAUGUGUAUUCCCACUUCAGCUUAAGCUAGAUAAACAGCUGAGUAAAUGGAAGUGCUUCCUCUUAACAGAAAUGCUAUUACUAAAAGCAGUCAGUGAUUUAAUCAAUUGAGUUUCACAGUAUUCACAGUUCACCCUCUUGUGUGCUAGAGUUCAGCACUGUACAAACAGGAUCAGAGGAUGAGAAAUUCUUUGCUUACCUAGCAGCAAAUUGGCUGCUUAGGCAGAUAUGCAGAGCACACUGUUGAGCAUCCAAUGCUGAAAUAAAGUUUUGAUAAUUGAGCUUUCUUUUGUAGCAUCGUUUGUUGUGGGUCAGAUCUUCAGGUAGCAGCUGUACAAAGUGCCUCAGCAUGCUGUGUGCCCUCUGAGUGAAGUGCAAAGCACAGAUCUUUACAUGGAAUGGAUGGUGGGACAUGAGCUGGGAGAACGUUCAGAGCCUUGGAGUGUUGUUGCUGCUCAUGUGCUGCAUUUCUCUCUUUGAAAGUUCCCACAAAAAGCUUGCAACAUACGGUGUAUAUUUAAGAGCCCCCCGAGGAGGGGAAUAAAAUACGUUUUUCUCUUUUCUCCAUACUUCAUGAAUGGCUCCCUUCUUGAAAACCACAGAUGAUGGAGCCUUGUUUUUCUUACAUCAUUUCUGCUCUUUUUGCAGUCGUCUCAAAAACGUUCUGUUUCUGCCAUUGUUCCUUAACUAUUUGCUUUCCUAUCUCAGAUGGCCUUAUGAAUGGAAACCCAUAGGAAAUGAAUAUUUGUGUUUAUUAAUGCUUCAACUUCUGCUAGCUAAGAGCUCUGGGAAGUACAGCAGUAUGGGCAAAACCAGUAAGAGUUGUGUUUUGGAAUGCUGUGUGUGUGAGUGCUGUGGCUGCUGUCUGCUCCAAGGCAGCAUUAGGAGUCAAGUAGGUGUUCAGAGCUGACAGUUAAUUUGAGUGAAAAUAGAUGCAAGAAGUGCCUGUUGGCAGCUGUGGGAUGUCUUAACUGGAAAGUAUAGCAAGUGUGGAUGUUUGUAAAGGAAGGUGGGUCCUCACCUGGGCAGAAUCAGGUUCUGAAAUACAGGAAGGCUGAAUUAGCAUGUGCAGCUAUGUGGAACUGCAUUCCAAUGCGUGGCCUCACUCACAGUGACCAAGCAAACCGAGCUCCUGUGUAUGCUGGGCUUGUUUUACUGUGCCUGAACCUAAUGCACUCCGAAGUUCAGGAUAAAUGAUUAUACAAAGGGGAAGAGAAAUGACUGGAGUGUUUGUAUUCUAUUUGUGCUCAGUAGCAUGUCUGUGAGCUUUAAAAAACAAAGCAAAAUGAAGUUUCAGACGAUGCAUUUCUGCCUUACUGAAGGUAAGGUCUGGUGUGUGGGGAAGUCAGUGCAGGGAAAGGACUCGUUAUUGUGAUAGAAAUUAAUCACUUUUAAUGCUGUGAGUUGGGUGGGGAAAAAGAAAGGGGUUCUAGUAUGAUAUUUACUACCUUGGGUGAAUACUUGAAGAGGAUUUUUAUUCAUCUACAAUGAAGGCAGUGGCUCAGCAACUAAUAGCUUUCACAAAUGCCAACAAAGCCUUUUCCCCUUGAUCUCAUCUUCAGCUCAUUCCAGCCUUCCUCUGCCUUCUGUGGAUACUUGUCUUUCUCUUCAUCUCUGACUGCAAAGGAAGCCUGAGUGCGACUUACACCUAGGAGUAGGAAAUGAAUUGAAGCAAAGCGAGGUGCUGCUUGGAUAAUACAUGCAUUUCUGCAAAGGGCUUCUAUCACAAAUCCAUCUUAGAAUCGUAGGGUAUCAUGAAUGACUGUGUGAACUCAAGGGGAAGAGGAAAGGCAAGAAAGGAGGUACAGAAGGAUUUGAAUUAAUUGGGCAUCCUACUCAGAACCUCAAACAGCAAUGAAAGGCCUGCACUACUGAACAGGCAAAGAUAAUCUGAGUAUAACUGCAGUCCUAUGGAAUCGUGGUGCUCCAGAGGGGCUGUGAGUGGGGUCCUGCCGUCCUCUUGCAUUGCUGCCUGCUCUCCCCAGCCUGUUGUUUGCUCAGACCAAACCUGAGGUCAGGAAAACAUGCUGCUGUUGUGAUGUAAAUGCUGGGCAAGCGGUCAAAAGAGGGAGGCAGAUCCAACCACCUGCUGGCUAUUGUGGCCCCCUGGUCUUUUUAUUUCACUGUUGGGAUUGCAGGCAAUGCCCUGUAGUAGCGGAGCAGAAGCUGGAUGUUGGGCUGGUGAUACGGAUGGGGAGAACCAGUUUGGGGUUAACCCAGCCCUGCCUUGUGCUGUAGAGCAUUGCUUCUUUUGACAUAGUAAUAAUCAUACCUGCUGCUUAAUUUGUUCACUAAUAAGGAUGGGUACAAGUCUUAUCCUUUUAGGAUAGCGAACACUAAAUGUGUAUUUGGUCAGCAUUAAGUGUCACAUUGUGUUUUAUCCGUAUUUAUUCUUGUUUCAAGGUAAGUAGAUGUGACUCAGCUGUUAAUGUGGCCGUAACUGAGCCCUAGAAUGGAACUGUUGCCUAAUAUGCAUAGUCAGAUAGUCCAAAACCAACAACAGAAUGCUCUGUGUAGAUGACUGUAUGGGGAACGUCACUGAUGUUGAAGUGCUUUAAACUCGUUGCCCAACAAACACGUGUUGUGGCAGCACUUUGUUAGCAUAUCCACUGCUGUUUCCAGGAUCUUAUCUUCUGUUCCUGGCUCUGGAAUUCUGCAUCUCUGGAUUUCUAGAAGCCGGACUUGUUGGUCUUCCACGAAUUUAGUAAAUGUAUAUCACCAAACAGGCUUCAUUUUGUGUUAUCCCUGGGGACUCUCCAUGGAGUACAGCAUAAGUUUUGCUUGCUGUAGUUGGUUUUAACAAGUUGGAGUAAUUGAGGAUAAGGUAAAAUCCUUAGCGUGUACCAGCUUGGACCAGGAGGUAUUUGAGUGCUGUGAAGUUUGGAUGGAAGAAAGGCUUCUCAGUCUGUCUCAUUCAUAUAAAAUAAGAUUUAAAAGAUGGGUUCCUUGGAUUUUUGCUCUGAAACUUCUCUUUAGCAGUGCACCAUGACUUGUGUAUGCGUUUGCUCAGCACAAGAAACUUUCUGCUUUGUAAUGCCACUAUUAGAAACUGCAGAGGUAGCGAUAGGUAGCAGUAAUACCACUUUCUACAACUUUGCCAUUCCUCUGAUGCUGAUGUUUGACACGCAGUAGGUGCAACAGCUCUGGGAACUGAGGAGCACCUGGUGUAGCGCCCAGCUGCAAGCAUGGCGAGGGAACUAAGUGAGGGAGCAGUCUGAGUGCUGGCACAUGCUGAGGUUUCUCCAGGCGUGUCUGGUGGGCCAAAGAGGCGCUGAUCAGCUCCGGGGCUCCUCAGCAGGCUGUGACAUCCUCUCAAGAAUGUUCUGCUGAUGAUAAAGUGAUUUUUUUUUUUUACCUUGCAUUUCACUGGGGAGGUGUGCUGUCAGUCAUUACCUUGCUGGGCAGGUUUAAUGGGGUGGAGGUUCUGGGAGAACUGGUGGGACUGGAACUAAGUCAUACUCCUUCAGUAUUAAAAUUGAGCCAGGCUUCUAAAUUAAAAGUGGUUAUUUGCCUAAUUUCCCUUCAGAUGCUCUAAUAUACCCGGGGAAUUACCAAGGCUAAUUGUCUGCUGCGUUGCUGUUGGUUGGCUCAGAUGCAGACCUCAGAGUGGGAGGAGAGCAAAGGAAGACCUAUGGGUGGGAAUUCGGGGACGUAGUGAACUUUGGAGCCUUUUAAUCCCUUCCUCCUAAAAUAAAUGAAUGACUGUAAUAUUUUCUUUGAGCACAGUUUCUUCUGUCUGCUAUCUGUUCUUUGGGCUGUCUGCAUUGUCCAGAGACUUCUAAAUCUCCUGUAGACCUAAGAUACUAUUUAGGAAAACGUGCACCAUUGUGCGUGCAUUUGGGCACAGUAGUUGUGGUGGUAUGAACUGCCCAUGCUGGUACAAAUGGAACAGAAUUCCUGUUGUAACACAUCU